CGACAUGGCGGCGGGAGGGUGUCCCCCGGCAGGACGGAGCUCAUCUGGCCGGGCUGGUGUUCCGGGGGCAAAGGGACCCUUGUGGGCCUGAGAGUGCCAGAAUAAUGGUUCUGACUGAAAGGCCCCAAAGCGCGGACAGUGUGCGAACGUUUCUGUGUAUUUUACAGAUCAGAGCACGGGGAAAACUCGGAGUGAUGCUCGGAGUGGGUGGAGUGCAGUCCACAGAGGUCGUCCCUCAUCCCCCGUGGAUUCUGCUCUGCCUCUCUCCGGCUGCGGAACCCUCGUGCUGUGGUGCCGAGCAGUAAGCCCAGCCCGUGAAGAUGCUGAAAAUGAGUUUGUAACCCGGGGGUUGUUCUGGAGGGAAUUGCAACACCAUUGUGUCAGAAAAGAGGAUGCGGGGGCGUGUCAAAGCGUGUAUUUUACAGUCCAUAAAAAGUAGAAGGAAGGCUUAUUAGUGUUAAAUUGUUACUAAAUGAACAGACCAAAGGCUGAACGUUAACAUGAAGGGAAAGUUUCUCACUGCUGAGAAGCAGAAAUUCAUUACUCCUGGACCCUCAUUGUUACAUUCACAAAGCUCAUCGUCGGCCGCAGGGCUGUAGAUACCUGUGUAAAAUAAAAGAAGGCCAGGUGCUCGAUGGCAACGCUGAUGACUUCCUCCUCAUCCUCUCUGCAUGUUGAGUUGUUGUCUUUAAUGCAUCACUUCAUUCACUUGUGAAUCUCAGUGGAUAAAGCUGGGACUGCAGUGUGGCCGAUCAAUGAAACACCAGCAACAAGGUUUUGCUCUGAGAGAGGGUGGUCAAUAGUAGUGGCACAUUUUAAGCUUGCCCCUCAGCUCUCUCCAGGUGAUAAUGUCUUGCCAGCCCAAUGGGCUGAAGGUAGGCUUUCUUUCUCCUUUUUUUUUCCCCCAUCAUUUUUUAGCUGUUUUUCUCCCCUAUCAUAAAUUCUAGAAACAGAUCAGCUUUCCAUCUUCCUCUCAAAAAUCUGUAGAAAAGCAAGACAGUAAAUAAGUAAAUGGCAAUGAAACAUACUGGCCAUGAAAGAUUUGGCAUAAUUCAGUUGGAGGAAAAGGAGGAAAGUUAAUGGUUGGCAGCAACUAAUUACUAAUUACUAACAGUAAUCUCUCCAGCAUUUCAAACUUUUUUCCAGAUUAACUGAAGACAUUUUCUGGUUUUGUUGAAGUGAAAGACAAUAUUUCCAUUGGCAACAGUUGGGGCAGUUUUAAUCCUUUA
This is a long non-coding RNA of Zonotrichia leucophrys gambelii, 1229 nucleotides long. RefSeq lists it as uncharacterized. The record is from RefSeq and is a predicted model, not a curated record. Lineage: Eukaryota; Metazoa; Chordata; Aves; Passeriformes; Passerellidae. The transcript has 3 exons.